GCGCCCAUAGCUCAGUUGGAUAGAGCGUCGGACUACGAAUCCGAAGGCCGCAGGUUCAAGUCCUGCUGGGCGCA
RNAcentral lists this transfer RNA (74 nucleotides) under Candidatus Rokubacteria bacterium CSP1-6. RNAcentral's name for it is "tRNA-Arg". It matches the Rfam family "tRNA". Rfam says of the family: Transfer RNA (tRNA) molecules are approximately 80 nucleotides in length. Their secondary structure includes four short double-helical elements and three loops (D, anti-codon, and T loops). The record is from RNAcentral. Lineage: Bacteria; Candidatus Rokuibacteriota.